Molecule: ribosomal RNA, 523 nt
Filed under: uncultured Bacteroidota bacterium
Lineage: Bacteria; Pseudomonadati; Bacteroidota
Description: bacterial SSU rRNA
Rfam family: Bacterial small subunit ribosomal RNA
Source: RNAcentral
AGCUUGCUCUUGAUGACGAGUGGCGCACGGGUGAGUAACGCGUAUGCAAUCUACCUAUAACUGAGGAAUAGCCCAGAGAAAUUUGGAUUAAUACCUCAUAAUAUUAUUAUUUGGCAUCAUUUAAUAAUUAAAACUCCGGUGGUUAUAGAUGAGCAUGCGUUCUAUUAGCUAGUUGGUGAGGUAAGAGCUCACCAAGGCUACGAUAGGUAGGGGGCCUGAAAGGGUGAUCCCCCACACUGGUACUGAGACACGGACCAGACUCCUACGGGAGGCAGCAGUGAGGAAUAUUGCACAAUGGAGGAAACUCUGAUGCAGCCAUGCCGCGUGCAGGAUGAAGGCCCUAUGGGUUGUAAACUGCUUUUUUACAAGAAGAAACCUUGGUACGUGUACCAACUUGACGGUAUUGUAAGAAUAAGCACCGGCUAACUCCGUGCCAGCAGCCGCGGUAAUACGGAGGGUGCAAGCGUUAUCCGGAUUUAUUAGGUUUAAAGGGUUCGCAGGCGGAAUUUUAAGUCAGUGGUGA